CGGUCAUGUGACCCGCCUCUGGUCCAAUGGAAAAGCCGUGUAUUCUUGUAAACAAUAGAUAAAAACGCGUAUUCUUGAUACGUGAGAUAGAGGGAAAACACCGACACACGACUUCAGGUUUCUUUAUUUCGCAAAACGCUGUAUGCAUGAAAUGAUUGAAGAUCGACGGAAGCUGGUAUUUGCCGAACUGUCAAUCCUGGCACGACAUGCCGCAACUCCAUGGCGUAAGUUGAUAGAACACAUUGUCAGCAACAUCUGUCAACUGUGUCACUGUGGACUGUAAUGUGAGUCAUGCAGAUGUGUUAACUGUGUCUCUGUGGACUGUAACGUGUAAUGCAGAUCUGUGUCACUGGUCAGUGUAUAGAGGGCCAGGCAGAUGUGUCACAGGUUACUGUACUGUAUGUCGGGUAGAUGUGUCACAGGUUAAUGUGAAGUGUGUCGGGUAGAUGUGUCACAGGUUACUGUACUGUAUGUCGGGUAGAUGUGUCACAGGUUACUGUACUGUAUGUCGGAUA
Haliotis rubra (blacklip abalone) is the source of this 515-nucleotide long non-coding RNA. RefSeq lists it as uncharacterized. NCBI's taxonomy places the organism in Eukaryota, Metazoa, Mollusca, Gastropoda, Lepetellida, Haliotidae. The record is from RefSeq and is a predicted model, not a curated record. The transcript is spliced from 3 exons.